Long non-coding RNA from Vigna unguiculata (cowpea), 1490 nucleotides. NCBI's taxonomy places the organism in Eukaryota, Viridiplantae, Streptophyta, Magnoliopsida, Fabales, Fabaceae. The record is from RefSeq and is a predicted model, not a curated record.
UCCAUUCAAAUUCUCUUCAUAUGUCUUGGUGUAUAUGACAAACCAUUAGUAGAGUCAGGGACAUUCAUCACAGCAUUUUUCUCGUAAUUGAGCUGAUCGACAAAAAAUUUGCACUUCACUCUUUCUCUUUUAGCAUUUUUCUUUCGCUCUAAUUAUUUUCCUCUUGCAUCACACCCUCCAUGACCUUUUCCAGCAAGGUACCAAACACACCCAAGAUUUUCUCUCUAGAACUCAGGACUCAAACAUUCGCCACACUCCUCCUCCCCCACGUUGUUCUCCACGACUGGGAGCUAAAUCUUGUCGUCAUCCUGGUGGCACGCGAGUACUUCAAGCUCGGGAAGCUUGAAGGGGAGAGCCAGCAACUCCCUUUACCGGGGACUUGCCUCUACCCGAGUAGUGGAAUAAAAGGCUUAGCGGCCCCUUUAAAUGUUACUCUCAAAAUGUAGAUCCCCUACUCUAGCACAAGUACGAAAUUGUCAAGAAGUUGCAAGACAGGAAGCACAUCUGUGGAAUGACUGGAGAUGGUGUCAACGAUGCUCCUGCUUUGAAGAAGGCCGAUAUCGGAAUCGCUAUUUCUGAUGCAACUGAUGCUGCAAGAAGUGCUUCUGAUAUUGUAUUGAUAGAACCUGGAUUGAGUGUUAUUAUUAGUGACAUCUUAACCAGCAGGGCUAUUUUCUAGAGAAUAUGCUGGAAACUGCAAGAAAUAUUUGCUACUGGAGUUGUGCUUGGGAGUUACUAGGCACUGAUGACUAUCAUAUUCUUCUAGGCAAUGAGAGAAACUGAUUUCUUCCCUGAAAAAUUCGGAGUUAGACACCUGACUCAUGAUGAAAUGAUGUUUGCUUUGUAUUUGCAAGUCAGGAGGAGAGGGAAGCUCAGUGGGCUCAUGCUCAGAGGACCCUGCAUGGACUUCAACCACCAGAAACUUCUAGCAUUUUCAUUGAGAAAAACAGUUACAGAGAACUCUCAGAGAUUGUUGAGCAGGCCCGGAAAAGAGCUGAAGUUGCAAGUUUCAAGAUGUCCAAUUUUAUGACCAACAGCGUUUCAAACAAUUUGUUUUCUAGAGUAAAAUAAGAAUGGAGGUAAUUUGUGAAAUGUUUCAUGUAAAGGGAGAACAAAAUGAUAAAAGGUGACAAGCUUCUAUACAGAUUAUAUCUAUAUUUUGCUUUUGUCUAUUGUUAGAAUUGGUUAAGAGGAAGUGGUCACAGAAUUGCAACUCCAAAGGAUGGAUGCAAAACUAAAUGCAGCAGGUUGGAUGUCAGAAAAGAUGGGAGGUCUAAGGUUGGCGAAUCUAUAUACUCUUGUGACCUACUGCAAGGGUGCAUUUGUAAAUAAUUCUUUGUUAUUAUAUCCAUCAUUGUCAUAUUAAAUGCUACUAGUAACAUUCAUUUUAUUUAUUGGAUUUAAAUACUAAUUGAAGUUUAGGAGAAUACAACAGAAUUAUUAUCUCAUUGAUUAAUUGAAGUAAUGAAGGAUGAUAGAAUAUGAAGAGU